GGGGCUGAUUCUGGAUUCGACGGGAUUUGCGAAACCCAAGGUGCAUGCCGAGGGGCGGUUGGCCUCGUAAAAAGCCGCAAAAAAAUAGUCGCAAACGACGAAAACUACGCUUUAGCAGCUUAAUAACCUGCUUAGAGCCCUCUCUCCCUAGCCUCCGCUCUUAGGACGGGGAUCAAGAGAGGUCAAACCCAAAAGAGAUCGCGUGGAUGCCCUGCCUGGGAUUGAAGCGUUAAAACGAAUCAGGCUAGUCUGGUAGUGGCGUGUCCGUCCGCAGGUGCCAGGCGAAUGUAAAGACAGACUAAGCAUGUAGUACCGAGGAUGUAGGAAUUUCGGACGCGGGUUCAACUCCCGCCAGCUCCACCA
RNAcentral lists this transfer-messenger RNA (363 nucleotides) under Salmonella enterica. It matches the Rfam family "transfer-messenger RNA". From Rfam's summary of the family: Bacterial tmRNA, also known as 10Sa RNA or SsrA, is named for its dual tRNA and mRNA-like properties. Lineage: Bacteria; Pseudomonadati; Pseudomonadota; Gammaproteobacteria; Enterobacterales; Enterobacteriaceae. The record is from RNAcentral.